Molecule: transfer RNA, 86 nt
Filed under: Mycolicibacterium litorale
Lineage: Bacteria; Bacillati; Actinomycetota; Actinomycetes; Mycobacteriales; Mycobacteriaceae
Description: tRNA-Val
Source: RNAcentral
CCCGCUGGUGGCUGGUGUAGGCGAACUGCUCCAUCUCCUCACGGGAGAUGUCCCACUUCUCGGCGAUCAGCUCGGCGCCGCGGAAC